GCAUUAUGCAGCAUAAUUAAUGAAAGAAACAGGGUUUUCAGAAUCGUCCCUGAAAAAAGAAAACUGGGGAGGGGUACAAAUACAAGGUUCCAACAAAAAAUUCAUCCAAAACCCUAAAUCCUCCAAUUAUUCAAACUCAACGCUAAAUCCUGCUCUGAACACGACAGGACCUAAUAAUUAAGAAAAAUUCACAAAAUCCGAAAGCUUCCCUCCCCUCCAGAAUUCUUUUACUGAACAGAGUUAAUGUGACGGAUCAGGUCGAUCACA
Molecule: unclassified non-coding RNA, 267 nt
Filed under: Hevea brasiliensis (rubber tree)
Lineage: Eukaryota; Viridiplantae; Streptophyta; Magnoliopsida; Malpighiales; Euphorbiaceae
Source: RNAcentral